RNAcentral lists this ribosomal RNA (1103 nucleotides) under Clostridioides difficile. RNAcentral's name for it is "partial 23S ribosomal RNA". It matches the Rfam family "Bacterial large subunit ribosomal RNA", at positions 1821 to 2925 of the family's 2925-position model. Lineage: Bacteria; Bacillati; Bacillota; Clostridia; Peptostreptococcales; Peptostreptococcaceae. The record is from RNAcentral.
UUCUGCUAAGUCGCAAGACGAUGUAUAGGAGCUGACGCCUGCCCGGUGCUGGAAGGUUAAGGGGAUCUGUUAGAGCAAUCGAAGCAGUGAACUUAAGCCCCAGUAAACGGCGGCCGUAACUAUAACGGUCCUAAGGUAGCGAAAUUCCUUGUCGGGUAAGUUCCGACCCGCACGAAAGGCGUAACGAUUUGGGCACUGUCUCAACAACAGACUCGGUGAAAUUGUAAUUCCGGUGAAGAUGCCGGAUACCUGCGACAGGACGGAAAGACCCCAUGGAGCUUUACUGUAGCUUGACAUUGGGUCUUGGUACUACAUGUACAGGAUAGGUGGGAGGCUUUGAAACCAGGACGCCAGUUUUGGCGGAGCCAUCCUUGGGAUACCACCCUUGUAGUACUGGGACUCUAACCAUAGGCCAUGAAUCUGGUCUUGGGACACUGUCAGGUGGGCAGUUUGACUGGGGCGGUCGCCUCCCAAAAGGUAACGGAGGCGCUCAAAGGUUCUCUCAGUACGGUCGGAAAUCGUACGUAGAGUGUAAAGGCAAAAGAGAGCUUGAUUGCAAGACAUACAGGUCGAGCAAGGAUGAAAAUCGGACUUAGUGAUCCGGUGGUUCUGCGUGGAAGGGCCAUCGCUCAACGGAUAAAAGCUACCCUGGGGAUAACAGGCUUAUCUCCCCCAAGAGUCCACAUCGACGGGGAGGUUUGGCACCUCGAUGUCGGCUCAUCACAUCCUGGGGCUGUAGUAGGUCCCAAGGGUUGGGCUGUUCGCCCAUUAAAGUGGUACGCGAGCUGGGUUCAGAACGUCGUGAGACAGUUCGGUCCCUAUCCGUCGCAGGCGUAGGAAAUUUGAGAAGACCUGUCCUUAGUACGAGAGGACCGGGAUGGACGUACCUCUGGUGUACCAGUUGUCCUGCCAAGGGCAUGGCUGGGUAGCUAUGUACGGAAUGGAUAAGCGCUGAAAGCAUCUAAGCGCGAAGCCAACUUCAAGAUAAGAUUUCCCACCGCAAGGGUAAGACCCCAGAAAGACUAUCUGGUUGAUAGGUCGAAGGUGUAAGUGCAGCAAUGUAUUUAGCUUAUCGAUACUAAUAGGUCGAGGACUUGACCAAU